RNAcentral lists this ribosomal RNA (496 nucleotides) under uncultured bacterium. RNAcentral describes it as "bacterial SSU rRNA". It matches the Rfam family "Bacterial small subunit ribosomal RNA", at positions 29 to 507 of the family's 1533-position model. The record is from RNAcentral.
AUGAACGCUGGCGGCGUGCCUAAUGCAUGCAAGUCGAGCGGAACUUAGAAAGCUUGCUUUCUAAGUUUAGCGGCGGACGGGUGAGUAACACGUGGGCAACCUGCCUAUAAGACUGGGAUAACUUCGGGAAACCGGAGCUAAUACCGGAUAAUAUAAAAGAUCACAUGGUCUUUUAUUGAAAGAUGGCUUCGGCUAUCACUUAUAGAUGGGCCCGCGGCGCAUUAGCUAGUUGGUGAGGUAAUGGCUCACCAAGGCGACGAUGCGUAGCCGACCUGAGAGGGUGAUCGGCCACACUGGGACUGAGACACGGCCCAGACUCCUACGGGAGGCAGCAGUAGGGAAUCUUCCGCAAUGGACGAAAGUCUGACGGAGCAACGCCGCGUGAGCGAUGAAGGCCUUCGGGUCGUAAAGCUCUGUUGUUAGGGAAGAACAAGUAUCGUUCGAAUAGGGCGGUACCUUGACGGUACCUAACCAGAAAGCCACGGCUAACUACGUG